RNAcentral lists this transfer RNA (86 nucleotides) under Audouinella sp. RNAcentral's name for it is "tRNA-Ser". It matches the Rfam family "tRNA". Rfam says of the family: Transfer RNA (tRNA) molecules are approximately 80 nucleotides in length. Their secondary structure includes four short double-helical elements and three loops (D, anti-codon, and T loops). Lineage: Eukaryota; Rhodophyta; Florideophyceae; Acrochaetiales; Acrochaetiaceae. The record is from RNAcentral.
GGAAGGAUGGCUGAGUGGUCUAAAGCGAUAACUUGCUAAGUUAUUAUAAUACUAUAUUAUCAUAGGUUCGAAUCCUAUUUCUUUCA